RNAcentral lists this non-coding RNA (120 nucleotides) under bovine gut metagenome. RNAcentral's name for it is "Moco (molybdenum cofactor) riboswitch". It matches the Rfam family "Molybdenum/Tungsten riboswitch aptamer (Moco RNA motif)", at positions 12 to 120 of the family's 135-position model. The record is from RNAcentral.
AAUCACUCCGAGCUUUGUGACCUAAAACAUUCUGUCACGGUCACAAAGCCGCAGGAUCGCAAUGUCCUGCCGGGGUAUAGCCGGAAACGACUGUGCCUUCCCUUUUUGAAAAGGAGUAAC